UAGCUAGUUGGUGAGGUAACGGCUUACCAAGGCGACGAUCUGUAGCGGGUCUGAGAGGAUGAUCCGCCACACUGGAACUGAGACACGGUCCAGACUCCUACGGGAGGCAGCAGUGGGGAAUUUUGGACAAUGGGGGCAACCCUGAUCCAGCCAUGCCGCGUGAGUGAAGAAGGCCUUCGGGUUGUAAAGCUCUUUCGGCCGGGAAGAAAUCGCAUGGGCCAAUACCCUGUGUGGAUGACGGUACCGGAAUAAGAAGCACCGGCCAACUACGUGCCAGCAGCCGCGGUAAUACGUAGGGUGCGAGCGUUAAUCGGAAUUACUGGGCGUAAAGCGUGCCCAGGCGGUUUUGUAAGACAGGCGUGAAAUCCCCGGGCUCAACCUGGGAACUGCGUUUGUGACUGCAAGGCUAGAGUACGGCAGAGGGGGGUGGAAUUCCACGUGUAUCAGUGAAAUGCGUAGAGAUGUGGAGGAACACCAAUGGCGAAGGCAGCCCCCUGGGUCGAUACUGACGCUCAUGCACGAAAGCGUGGGUAGCAAACAGGAUUAGAUACCCUGGUAGUCCACGCCCUAAACUAUGUCAACUAGGUGUUGGGUGGGUAAAACCAUUUAGUACCGUAGCUAACGCGUGAAGUCGACCGCCUGGGGAGUACGGCCGCAAGGUUAAAACUCAAAGGAAUUGACGGGGACCCGCACAAGCGGUGGAUGAUGUGGAUUAAUUCGAUGCAACGCGAAAAACCUUACCUACCCUUGACAUGCCAGGAACUUGCCAGAGAUGGCUUGGUGCCCGAAAGGGAGCCUGGACACAGGUGCUGCAUGGCUGUCGUCAGCUCGUGUCAUGAGAUGUUGGGUUAAGUCCCGCAACGAGCGCAACCCUUGUCGUUAAUUGCCAUCAUUUAGUUGGGCACUUUAGCGAGACUGCCGAUGACAAACCGGAGGAAGGUGGGGAUGACGUCAAGUCCUCAUGGCCCUUAUGGGUAGGGCUUCACACGUCAUACAAUGGUCGGUACAAAGGGUCGCCAAGCCGCGAGGUGGAGCCAAUCCCAGAAAGCCGAUCGUAGUCCGGAUUGCAGGCUGCAACUCGCCUGCAUGAAGUCGGAAUCGCUAGUAAUCGUGGAUCAGCAUGUCACGGUGAAUACGUUCCCGGGUCUUGUACACACCGCCCGUCACACCAUGGGAGCGGGUUCCGCCAGAAGUAGGUAGCCUAACCGUAAGGAGGGCGCUUACCACGGCGGGGUUCGUGACUGGGGUGAAGUCGGAACAAGGUAGCCGUAGGGGAACCUGCGGCUG
This 1287-nucleotide ribosomal RNA is filed under the name metagenome. RNAcentral describes it as "bacterial SSU rRNA". It matches the Rfam family "Bacterial small subunit ribosomal RNA", at positions 242 to 1520 of the family's 1533-position model. The record is from RNAcentral.